AUGAAGGCUGGAAGUAGUUACUGGAGGAUGCAGCAGUGCAGAGGGCUGGGGCAGGUUACAGAAUCACUGGAGCAUGAGGGUGUUCUGGAACUCGGCAGUUGUUGGCAUGAGCUUCAGCUAUUCUCCAUCCCAGGGUUCCAGAACUACACUCCUACAGAAAUGAUGUCCCUUGAGUGCAAGUCAGCCUCCCCAGAACCCUUGGCAGCUCUGCAGAAGCAUCAGAUCUUGUUACGUUACUUUGGCAGUACAGAGGUCUCAAGCCCUUUCAGAAGGGCAAUGAGGGCCUACUGGAUACUAAAGGUGUCUAUCAUCAGAGGAAAGCAGAAGUGACUUUAUACCUAGAAUGUGCAGAGAUCAAACAAGAUGAGUGUUGCAGUAAAACAAUAAAGGCAUGUGUGUGCUUGUGUGUGAAUUCA
This 416-nucleotide long non-coding RNA is filed under the name Anas platyrhynchos platyrhynchos (common mallard). RNAcentral describes it as "lncRNA (ENSAPLG00000027902.1)". The record is from RNAcentral. Lineage: Eukaryota; Metazoa; Chordata; Aves; Anseriformes; Anatidae.